Molecule: ribosomal RNA, 465 nt
Filed under: uncultured bacterium
Lineage: Bacteria
Description: bacterial SSU rRNA
Rfam family: Bacterial small subunit ribosomal RNA
Source: RNAcentral
GCCAGACUCCUACGGGAGGCAGCAGUGAGGAAUAUUGGUCAAUGGGCGCGAGCCUGAACCAGCCAAGUCGCGUGAGGGAUGACGGCCCUACGGGUUGUAAACCUCUUUUGCCGGGGAGCAACGGGCGCCACGUGUGGCGCCACUGAGAGUACCCGGAGAAAAAGCAUCGGCUAACUCCGUGCCAGCAGCCGCGGUAAUACGUAGGGAGCGAGCGUUGUCCGGAAUUACUGGGUGUAAAGGGAGCGUAGGCGGGCGAGAAAGUUGAAUGUUAAAUCUACCGGCUUAACUGGUAGCUGCGUUCAAAACUUCUUGUCUUGAGUGAAGUAGAGGCAGGCGGAAUUCCUAGUGUAGCGGUGAAAUGCGUAGAUAUUAGGAGGAACACCGGUGGCGAAGGCGGCUUACUGGACUGUAACUGACGUUGAGGCUCGAAAGCGUGGGGAGCAAACAGGAUUAGAUACCCUCGUA